Molecule: ribosomal RNA, 269 nt
Filed under: uncultured prokaryote
Description: partial 16S ribosomal RNA
Rfam family: Bacterial small subunit ribosomal RNA
Source: RNAcentral
UACGGAGGGUGCAAGCGUUAUUCGGAAUUAUUGGGCGUAAAGAGCGCGUAGGCGGCUUUGCAAGUCAGGUGUGAAAUCCCGGGGCUCAACCCCGGAAGAGCAUUUGAUACUGUGGAGCUUGAGUAUGGGAGAGGGAAGUGGAAUUCCUGGUGUAGCGGUGAAAUGCGUAGAUAUCAGGAGGAACACCGGUGGCGAAGGCGGCUUCCUGGACCAAUACUGACGCUGAGGCGCGAAGGCGUGGGGAGCAAACAGGAUUAGAUACCCUGGUA